This 254-nucleotide ribosomal RNA is filed under the name uncultured bacterium. RNAcentral's name for it is "partial 16S ribosomal RNA". It matches the Rfam family "Bacterial small subunit ribosomal RNA", at positions 524 to 776 of the family's 1533-position model. The record is from RNAcentral.
UACGUAGGGUGCGAGCGUUGUCCGGAAUUACUGGGCGUAAAGAGCUCGUAGGUGGUUUGUCGCGUUGUUCGUGAAAACUCACAGCUCAACUGUGGGCGUGCGGGCGAUACGGGCAGACUGGAGUACUGCAGGGGAGACUGGAAUUCCUGGUGUAGCGGUGGAAUGCGCAGAUAUCAGGAGGAACACCGGUGGCGAAGGCGGGUCUCUGGGCAGUAACUGACGCUGAGGAGCGAAAGCGUGGGGGAGCGAACAGG